Long non-coding RNA from Drosophila arizonae, 537 nucleotides. The record is from RefSeq and is a predicted model, not a curated record. NCBI's taxonomy places the organism in Eukaryota, Metazoa, Arthropoda, Insecta, Diptera, Drosophilidae.
ACACAUAUGUAUCUGCGCCCACAGAGGCAACCAUGUGUGCUGGUCGUCGUGUCCUUCGCUUCAAGGAUUUGCUGUGGCUCCCAUUGCCUGCUGGCCGUGUAAUCGCAAAUAAUCAUCCACUUAGCGUCAUGAAACUUUAUGCCAAAUGCUCCUCCGUCCGGCUUAGCAGAGAGCCGUGCAGUUGAGCUCAGCUGAGAAGCUGAAACGCGGCACUCAAAUGGCCAGGCCCUAAGAGACCCUAAGAGAGUCAGUCCCAUAUAAAGUGCCCGAACAUAGUCAUAAUAAUGUUUAUUAUUGUUCGCAAUUGAGCACAUGCCGACUAUUUGUUUGCUCUGACAAUGUUACGCAUAAAAGAUACAAAUGGAUUUCACAUACCGCACAGUACUCAAAGUGUGUGGCUGUGGCUGUGGCUGGGGCUGUGGCUGGGGCUUUGCUGUGGUUCCUGGUCUUAGCAUCUUGCUUAAAGCCAAAGGAAAUGCUCGUUAAGUGAAUGUGGAUAGGAAUCCCAGAAAUAGCUGGCAGGCAAAUUUAAUUUCU